GACGAACGCUGGCGGCGUGCCUAAUACAUGCAAGUAGAACGCUGAAGGAGGAGCUUGCUUCUCCGGAUGAGUUGCGAACGGGUGAGUAACGCGUAGGUAACCUGCCUGGUAGCGGGGGAUAACUAUUGGAAACGAUAGCUAAUACCGCAUAACAGUAGGUGUUGCAUGACAUUUGCUUAAAAGGUGCAAUUGCAUCACUACCAGAUGGACCUGCGUUGUAUUAGCUAGUUGGUGAGGUAACGGCUCACCAAGGCGACGAUACAUAGCCGACCUGAGAGGGGUGUCGGCCACACCGGGGACGGGGCACGGGCCAGGACUCCAAGGGGAGGCGCCGGAGGGAAUACUUCGGAAAGGGCGGGAGUCUGACCGAGCAACGCCGCGUGAGUGAAGAAGGUUUUCGGAUCGUAAAGCUCUGUUGUAAGAGAAGAACGAGUGUGAGAGUGGAAAGUUCACACUGUGACGGUAUCUUACCAGAAAGGGACGGCUAACUACGUG
Molecule: ribosomal RNA, 495 nt
Filed under: uncultured bacterium
Lineage: Bacteria
Description: partial 16S ribosomal RNA
Rfam family: Bacterial small subunit ribosomal RNA
Source: RNAcentral